GACGACGCUGGCGGCGUGGAUUAGGCAUGCAAGUCGAACGGUAUCAGUCCUUCGGGGUGAGAGAGUGGCGAACUGGUGAGUAACACGUAGGUUAUCUACCCUCAAGACGGGGACAACCCAGGGAAACUUGGGCUAAUACCGGAUGUGAGCAACUUUAGUUGUUUGAAAGGUGGCGUAAGCUGUCGCUUGGGGAUGAGCCUGCGUCCUAUUAGUUAGUUGGUGAGGUAACGGCUCACCUAGGCAAUGAUAGGUAGGCGGCCUUAACGGGUGGUCGCCCACACUGGGAUUGAGAUACGGCCCAGACUCCUACGGGAGGCAGCAGUAGGGAAUUUUCGGCAAUGGGGGGAACCCUGACCGAGCAAUGCCGCGUGAAUGAAGACGAUCUUCGGAUUGUAAAGUUCUGUUAUUGGGAAAGAAAGAUAUGGCGAGGAAAUGCGUUAUAUUUGACGGUACCUGAUGAGAAAGCCCCGGCUAACUAUGUG
This 482-nucleotide ribosomal RNA is filed under the name uncultured bacterium. Its description in RNAcentral is "bacterial SSU rRNA". It matches the Rfam family "Bacterial small subunit ribosomal RNA", at positions 33 to 507 of the family's 1533-position model. The record is from RNAcentral.